CUUUCUAAUCUACUGCAGCCUUGAUGCCUUCAUUUCAGUUUUCUUCACUCUUUUAACUUAAGAUUAUUGCUCCUACAUGGUGUCUUGAACACCAGUCAGGUUAGUUGAAAGAACAAAUACACCAAUAUUAUUCUCCCUACCCAGGCAAAUGUCCAGAAACAUGGAAUGCUCACAGAAGAAGGCUAAGAUUCAUAGUGAAAUCAGUCUCUUCCAAAUCACAAACUCACAUUUCUGAAGUCAACUAUGUUGAACAAUUAUAUUAAUUCAUUCAACUUCAUCCAAAAUUUAUACAGUUUAAGUUGUUGCCAACAGCACCAACUAGCAUUUUCUGCAAAUCCUUUGAAAAUCAACAAACAAGAAACUUUGUGUAGCAUAACAUAACCAGAGUAUGGGGAGUAAAAAUCAGUCAUGCACUGAUGCACAAACUCCAAUAGAAACUACUGUAUUACAUGUCAUCACUAACAGAAGAAUUCAGAAUUUCUUUUAAUACAAGCAGUCAUCAAGUGUACAUUAAACUGAGUUACAAACUAUUCACAUCU
Molecule: long non-coding RNA, 539 nt
Filed under: Bos taurus (domestic cattle)
Lineage: Eukaryota; Metazoa; Chordata; Mammalia; Artiodactyla; Bovidae
Description: long non-coding RNA NONBTAT018976
Source: RNAcentral